GAUGAACGCUGGCGGCGUGCCUAAUACAUGCAAGUCGAGCGAACGGACGAGAAGCUUGCUUCUCUGAUGUUAGCGGCGGACGGGUGAGUAACACGUGGAUAACCUACCUAUAAGACUGGGAUAACUUCGGGAAACCGGAGCUAAUACCGGAUGAUAUUUUGAACCACAUGGUUCAAAAGUGAAAGACGGUAUUGCUUUAACUUAUAGAUGGAUCCGCUCUGCAUUAGCUAGUUGGUAAGGAAACGGCUUACCAAGGGAACGAUGCAUAGCCGACCUGAGAGGGGGAUCGGCCAAAUGGGAACGGGAACCCGGUCAAGCCCCCUACGGGAGGCAGCAGAAGGGAAUCUUCGGCAAGGAGCGAAAGCCUGACGGAGAAACGCCGCGUGAUGGAGGAAGUUCUUCGGACGGUAAAACCUUGUGAUUAGGGAAAAACAUAUGUGUAAGUAACUGUGCACAUCGUGACGGUACCUAAUCAGAAAGCCACGGCUAACUACGUG
Molecule: ribosomal RNA, 497 nt
Filed under: uncultured bacterium
Lineage: Bacteria
Description: partial 16S ribosomal RNA
Rfam family: Bacterial small subunit ribosomal RNA
Source: RNAcentral